Molecule: long non-coding RNA, 304 nt
Organism: Balaenoptera ricei (Rice's whale)
Lineage: Eukaryota; Metazoa; Chordata; Mammalia; Artiodactyla; Balaenopteridae
Exons: 3
Source: RefSeq, a predicted model, not a curated record
GGGCCGUAGUGCGGCAGACCCGGACCCCUUCCCCAUCUUGCUCCUCCUGUCGGCGUCCUCAGGAGUCGCCAGGGUUGGGUGGAGCCCACCCUCCCAAUCCCCCACCUCAAUGCAUACUUCCCGGUCGAGUCCACCUCGACUCUGAAAUAUAGUAAGUACUCGGACAGGCGAUAUAUUCACGUGCCUCAAGUUACAAAGGACGUCCGCAAAUUGAGGAUUGCACUUUGCCUUGUUUCCCACCAUAUCCCCAGUUCCUAGAACAAGACCUAGCAUACGAUGAGGAAACUGAGUCUCAAAGAGGCCA